This 189-nucleotide ribosomal RNA is filed under the name uncultured bacterium. Its description in RNAcentral is "partial 16S ribosomal RNA". It matches the Rfam family "Bacterial small subunit ribosomal RNA", at positions 1312 to 1500 of the family's 1533-position model. The record is from RNAcentral.
ACGCCUACAUGAAGUCGGAAUCGCUAGUAAUCGCGGAUCAGCAUGCCGCGGUGAAUACGUUCCCGGGCCUUGUACACACCGCCCGUCACACCAUGAGAGUUUGUAACACCCAAAGCCGGUGGGGUAACCUUUUGGAGCCAGCCGUCUAAGGUGGGACAGAUGAUUGGGGUGAAGUCGUAACAAGGUAAC